Molecule: long non-coding RNA, 646 nt
Organism: Amborella trichopoda
Lineage: Eukaryota; Viridiplantae; Streptophyta; Magnoliopsida; Amborellales; Amborellaceae
Source: RefSeq, a predicted model, not a curated record
GGCCCUCUCUCCUAUUCUCUCUCUCUUUGCGGACCUCCCUCUCUCUCUUCGUGGACCUCCCUCUCUCUAUAUUUAGCAGUAGGUCCUUUUUCUAUGUUCAACAAUAGCAAUGGACGUAAUGGCAGCAAUACAACAACAAUUAAAGCCCCUCGGCUUGGGCAUUGUUUCUCUCUCUUUAUCGCUAUUGAAGCCCUCUCAGCCCACACAGAGGGAUGGACACCUCUCUCUCUCUAGCUGUUGUAGCAGUAGUGCAUCCCUCUCUCUCUGUCUAUAUGCAGCCAUUGAAGCCCUUGAGCUUGGGCAUCUCUCUCUUUUUGUAGAAAAACCCUGGCCGGCCAGCCAUCCAACUGUAGCCCACUUCAUCUCUAAAGGUAGAGAGGAAAAAUUCAUAUGGAACAACUUCAAAGGAGGGGCUAUGUUGCUGUUUUUUGUUUUUUUUGAAAAGUUUGUUGUUAAACUAUUGGCAUUAUUGAUGUAGGUUUUAUGCCAUUCACUUCAUUUGGGGUUGUUAGGUGACAUGUAAGGUGAUUGGGUACAAGGAACGAACCAUUAUUUGACAAUGGGCAGGACUACUGAACUUUAUAUAAAUAAUUUUGUUAUUGAAUGGACUACCCCAUUUGGUUGGUAGUUGAUGAAUUGCAUAUAA